GACGAACGCUGGCGGCGUGCUUAACACAUGCAAGUCGAACGGAAAGGCCCUGCUUGCAGGGUCCUCGAGUGGCGAACGGGUGAGUAACACGUGGGUGAUCUGCCCUGCACUUCGGGAUAAGCCUGGGAAACUGGGUCUAAUACCGGAUAGGAGCCAUUUUUAGUGUGAUGGUUGGAAAGUUUUUUCGGUGUAGGAUGAGCUCGCGGCCUAUCAGCUUGUUGGUGGGGUAAUGGCCUACCAAGGCGGCGACGGGUAGCCGGCCUGAGAGGGUGGACGGCCACAUUGGGACUGAGAUACGGCCCAGACUCCGACGGGAGGAAGCAGUGGGGAAUAUUGCACAAUGGGCGCAAGCCUGAUGCAGCGACGCCGCGGGGGGGAUGACGGCCUUCGGGUUGUAAACUCCUUUCGCUAGGGACGAAGCUUUUUGUGACGGUACCUAGAGAAGAAGCACCGGCUAACUACGUG
Molecule: ribosomal RNA, 465 nt
Filed under: uncultured bacterium
Lineage: Bacteria
Description: partial 16S ribosomal RNA
Rfam family: Bacterial small subunit ribosomal RNA
Source: RNAcentral